AUUAUUAUUAAUAUUAUUAGUUAUAAUAAAAGAAAUAAAGUAAAGUAAGUAAAGUAGAAAGACAAAGAAACAAAAGAAGAACAGAAUAGAAACAGAGAAAGAGACGAAAAACAGGGGAAGAAAAAGGGAAAUAAAAAGAAAAGGGGAAAUUGAGAUUUUAAAGCUUCAAGUUAAUUGCUAACAAGGAAAACGAGGCAUCGGCAUCCAAAGGAAAAGAAAAGAUCGUUGAAGAGUAAACGCGUAUUCCGGGUUUGUAUUACUAUAACUUAAUCUAUUUAAUAAAUGAUAUAUUGAAAUUGUAUUCAUGAGGCAUUUAAAGUAAGGUAAGUGAUAACAUUUGAAAUUAAGUAAGAA
Gossypium raimondii (Peruvian cotton) is the source of this 354-nucleotide long non-coding RNA. RefSeq lists it as uncharacterized. The record is from RefSeq and is a predicted model, not a curated record. The transcript has 2 exons. NCBI's taxonomy places the organism in Eukaryota, Viridiplantae, Streptophyta, Magnoliopsida, Malvales, Malvaceae.